AAAUCCAUGCAUAAAGCAGGAGGUGGCAGCUAUCAAACGGGCUGCCAACCAUGGGCCCAGUUAACCUAUUAGAUGUCAUGGCCCAAUGCUCGAAUAUGGGCCCAAAAAGGCGUAUUGGGCCCAGUUGAUUUUUGGGCCCAGGUAUUACAGUUUUAAGCACUAAAAUGCCCCUCUGUUAUAUCCCUAAACAUCUCUGGACUGGUGGUGAGAUCCAAUUCGUGGGUUUGGUGGAGGGUCUUUCUAGACAAGUUUCAUUUUGCUCCCCCUGCAAACUGGAAGGCACUUGUGACCAUUUGAGGAUAUAAUAGGUACAAUAACAUUAAAAUUAUCUUGCAUCAUGAGAUGCUUAUUGAUUUACCGUAACUUAAUAAUAGAUCCCAUAAAAUACUUGCCACAAAAAAUGGUUAUAAAUAUUUUAUUGAAUUUUGUUUAAGGACUCAUAUGUCCCUUGCAAGCAUAGUGGUGCAAAAAGGAUACAUAUGCUAUUAUGAAAUAAGCUUUAGGAUGAUAACAGAGAUGUGGGAUUUGUUCAAAAGAUAUUGUUGUAUGUGUUUCACCAACACAUUUAAGAUUGGCAAUGACCAAAAAAGAAACAAUUUUUGAAAACGAAAUCUGGUGAGAAGGAACUUAGUUUGUGCAUGAGGACAUGUGAAAGUCUGUUCAGUAAACUUUAUGCAUUAUGAAAUAAAUAAACCAUGUCUUCUAAUUGCAAGAAAAUCCAUUGUAUAAAUCUCCCAUGAUUCUCUU
RNAcentral lists this long non-coding RNA (747 nucleotides) under Phoenix dactylifera (date palm). Its description in RNAcentral is "long non-coding RNA (PDAC_LNC018667)". The record is from RNAcentral. Lineage: Eukaryota; Viridiplantae; Streptophyta; Magnoliopsida; Arecales; Arecaceae.